AUUGAACGCUGGCGGCAGGCUUAACACAUGCAAGUCGAACGGUAACAGGAAAUAGCUUGCUAUUUUGCUGACGAGUGGCGGACGGGUGAGUAAUGCUUGGGAAUUUACCUUGCUGUGGGGGACAACAGUUGGAAACGACUGCUAAUACCGCAUAAUGUCUUCGGACCAAAGGUGGCCUCUAUUUAUAUGCUAUCGCGACAAGAUGAGCCCAAGUGGGAUUAGCUAGUUGGUAAGGUAAUGGCUUACCAAGGCGACGAUCCCUAGCUGGUCUUAGAGGAUGACCAGCCACACUGGAACUGAGACACGGUCCAGACUCCUACGGGAGGCAGCAGUGGGGAAUAUUGCACAAUGGGGGAAACCCUGAUGCAGCCAUGCCGCGUGUGUGAAGAAGGCUUUCGGGUUGUAAAGCACUUUCAGCGAGGAGGAAA
RNAcentral lists this ribosomal RNA (428 nucleotides) under uncultured bacterium. Its description in RNAcentral is "bacterial SSU rRNA". It matches the Rfam family "Bacterial small subunit ribosomal RNA", at positions 30 to 450 of the family's 1533-position model. The record is from RNAcentral.